AGCGGCAGACGGGUGAGUAACGCGUGAAUAAUCAACCCUGUACAAAGGGAUAGCCUCGGGAAACCGGGAUUAAUACCAUAUGAAGUAUAUUAAUCGCAUGAUAGAUAUAUUAAAACUUUGGUGGUACAGGACGAGUUCGCGUCCCAUUAGCUAGUUGGUGAGAUAAAAGCUUACCAAGGCGACGAUGGGUAGCCGGCCUGAGAGGGUGAACGGCUACACUGGAACUGAGACACGGUCCAGACUCCUACGGGAGGCAGCAGUGGGGAAUAUUGCACAAUGGAGGAAACUCUGAUGCAGCGACGCCGCGUGAGCGAAGAAGGCUUUCGAGUCGUAAAGCUCUGUCCUAAGAGAAGAAGAAGUGACGGUAACUUAGGAGGAAGCCCCGGCUAACUACGUGCCAGCAGCCGCGGUAAUACGUAGGGGGCUAGCGUUGUCCGGAAUUACUGGGCGUAAAGGGUGAGUAGGUGGUCAUUAAAGUCAGAUGUAAAAGGCAAUGGCUCAACCAUUGUAAGCAUUUGAAACUUAAUGACUUGAGUGCAGGAGAGGUAAAUGGAAUUCCUAGUGUAGCGGUGAAAUGCGUAGAUAUUAGGAAGAACACCAGUGGCGAAGGCGAUUUACUGGACUGUAACUGACACUGAGUCACGAAAGCGUGGGGAGCGAACAGGAUUAGAUACCCUGGUAGUCCACGCUGUAAACGAUGAGUGCUAGGUGUCGGCAAGAGAUUGUCGGUGCCGCAGUUAACGCAUUAAGCACUCCGCCUGGGGAGUACGAUCGCAAGAUUGAAACUCAAAGGAAUUGACGGGGACCCGCACAAGCAGCGGAGCAUGUGGUUUAAUUCGAAGCAACGCGAAGAACCUUACCAAGACUUGACAUCCUCUUGACAGGUGUAGAAGUACACCCUCUCUUCGGAGCAAGAGUGACAGGUGGUGCAUGGUUGUCGUCAGCUCGUGUCGUGAGAUGUUGGGUUAAGUCCCGCAACGAGCGCAACCCUUAUCAUUAGUUGCCAUCAUUAAGUUGGGAACUCUAAUGAGACUGCCGGUGAUAAACCGGAGGAAGGUGGGGAUGACGUCAAAUCAUCAUGCCCCUUAUGUCUUGGGCUACACACGUGCUACAAUGGUCGGUACAACGGGAAGCUAAGGAGUGAUCUGGAGCUAACCCCAAUAAGCCGAUCCCAGUUCGGAUUGCAGGCUGCAACUCGCCUGCAUGAAGUUGGAGUUGCUAGUAAUCGCGAAUCAGAAUGUCGCGGUGAAUGCGUUCCCGGGUCUUGUACACACCGCCCGUCACACCAUGGGAGUUGGUAAUACCCGAAGCCGUCGAGCUAACGUAAGAGGCAGACGUCGAAGGUAGGACUAAUGACUGGGGUGAAGUCG
Molecule: ribosomal RNA, 1370 nt
Filed under: uncultured Peptostreptococcaceae bacterium
Lineage: Bacteria; Bacillati; Bacillota; Clostridia; Peptostreptococcales; Peptostreptococcaceae
Description: 16S ribosomal RNA
Rfam family: Bacterial small subunit ribosomal RNA
Source: RNAcentral